AAAAAGAUAAGCUAAGUUAAGCUAAUGGGUUCAUACCUCAUUUAUAAAGAUAAAUCUUUUCUUUUUA
RNAcentral lists this transfer RNA (67 nucleotides) under Idgia oculata. RNAcentral's name for it is "tRNA-Met". The record is from RNAcentral. Lineage: Eukaryota; Metazoa; Arthropoda; Insecta; Coleoptera; Prionoceridae. RNAcentral also lists the same sequence under 1 other name.